This 770-nucleotide long non-coding RNA is filed under the name Capsicum annuum. Its description in RNAcentral is "long non-coding RNA (CANN_LNC010103)". The record is from RNAcentral. Lineage: Eukaryota; Viridiplantae; Streptophyta; Magnoliopsida; Solanales; Solanaceae.
UUAGCACAAAGUUGAGUUAAGAUCUUUUGAUUUGUUCAAAUUAUGGUAUUCAAUCCUACAAGGGUUAAUUUUUUUACAUGUAUAACUUCUAGAAUAUAUUGAAUUUUGGGUCUCAAGACCUAAAAAAUUAUAGAUAAAUGUGUCCUCUUUCCAAUUCAUCUAAUUUGGCCUUAAUCUGAUACCCAAACAAAACGUUAUUUGAAUUUUCAUGAGGUACCAGUAACAGUCCGCAAUUUUAGCAAAGCACAGAUCUUGUGCUCGGUGAUUUUCAGCGUGGCAUGGACCUUGUUCAAAAACUCUAAAACCCAUGUUUCUCUUCACUUUUUUUAGGGCAAAUAAGUCAUUUACAUCCUAAACUAUCCUAUGAAAGACAUAAAUGUGAUUUUAUCUUCCCAUAACCCCAAAUACAUCAAAUACAUGAUCCCUUUUCCUCCCAAGUGAUAAAAAACACCAAGCAUAGGUUUCUUAAAACUCACCUCCCAAGGCUCUAAAUCCAAGUUCCCUUUCAAGUUACAAGUCAUUCAAUCUAUGUUUGUAUCAUUAUAUUUAAAUUAUAGAUACAGUAUCAUUUUAAAAAUAUCAUAAUUGAGCAAAUGAGUUAUCAAUGCAUAUACUAGUUUAUGCUUCUGUGUCUAUUUGGUUGAGAGUAGAACUUAGCACUGAGAGAAUUUAUGUAUGAAGGCUUUCCUUCCAUAUUAAAGUGAGACCUUUAGUAGCAGUCCCUAAGUUCCAAAACUACAAACAUAACAUAGGUUACGAGUGGUCUUCCU